This 625-nucleotide long non-coding RNA is filed under the name Salmo salar (Atlantic salmon). Its description in RNAcentral is "lncRNA (ENSSSAG00000102664.1)". The record is from RNAcentral. Lineage: Eukaryota; Metazoa; Chordata; Actinopteri; Salmoniformes; Salmonidae.
CCCGUGGCCCGGAGUGCUGCGUUGUACUCUUCCCCCUAAGUGCUGCGCGCUCCGAAGCACCUCUCAUUCACAUGGCUCUCCAUCAUGUGAUCGGGUCUUACGCAACUGCGGCGUCCUUAUCCAAUUCUGAGCAUCGUUCAAGUUGGCCCUGGAGAAGAAGACAAUAGAGCGAGAAACAUUGCUAACUCUAGCAGCUAUGGCUGGUCUGGUGGACGAUGAAGAUGCUACUUGACCAUGGAGUGUCUCCGCAUGGUUUUAUUUGGUCUCCCAAGUUUUCUGAGCAAAAAAAUGUAAAUACAAUAAAAUACAAGUAUUCCCAUGCAUAAUAGAGAGACGUGAUUGUAUACAAAUGUAAGCAAGGUUUGAAAUUAUUAUGUUUAGUGUAACAUAUCUGUUUGGGCUUCUUCCUGUUAAUUUGCGGUCUACAAAAUAUUUGUAAUUAUGUUUCAGUCCCUCGACCAUCCGCUCAAUAAAGAAAUCGUCCUGCGGCUGAAUCUAGUCGAUGAUCCCUGGUAUAAAGUCUGUGUCCUUGGCAUCACAACAAGUAUCAUUGUUGGAAUGACUCUUAGUAUAUUAUUCCACUGCUAUUCAACAUUUUUUGUGAUUUUUCCCGGUCAGCUGUUAG